GGUCGGCCGCUAGUGCCUGUGCCCCUACACUUUGUGCUUUCUAAACGAAUCUUAUCCGACCCACAACUGUGGGCUCGCCUACAUGCUGCGACGUUACACAUAUAACCAUUUUUCGGAUAGUUCAUAACAGACAUGCGAGGAAGGUGACAGCAGCUGGUCCCGGGCGGCCGCCGCCCGCACCACACACCGGCCACACGGCCCUCACCGACACCACUCUAUGAGAACAAUACUUAGCGGAAGAUGCUGGGCGCGAAGUCGUGGCUGGUGCUGGCGGCGGUGGCGUGGUGCGCCCGCGCGGGGCCCGGC
Long non-coding RNA from Achroia grisella, 306 nucleotides. RefSeq lists it as uncharacterized. The record is from RefSeq and is a predicted model, not a curated record. NCBI's taxonomy places the organism in Eukaryota, Metazoa, Arthropoda, Insecta, Lepidoptera, Pyralidae. The transcript has 3 exons.